This 460-nucleotide ribosomal RNA is filed under the name uncultured bacterium. RNAcentral describes it as "partial 16S ribosomal RNA". It matches the Rfam family "Bacterial small subunit ribosomal RNA", at positions 338 to 795 of the family's 1533-position model. The record is from RNAcentral.
CCUACGGGUGGCAGCAGUGAGGAAUAUUGGUCAAUGGGCGCGAGCCUGAACCAGCCAAGUCGCGUGAGGGAUGAAGGUUCUAUGGAUCGUAAACUUCUUUUAUAAGGGAAUAAAGUGUGGGACGUGUCCUAUUUUGUAUGUACCUUAUGAAUAAGGAUCGGCUAACUCCGUGCCAGCAGCCGCGGUAAUACGGAGGCUCCGAGCGUUAUCCGGAUUUAUUGGGUUUAAAGGGUGCGUAGGCGGCCUUUUACGUCAGCGGUGAAAGUCUGUGGCUCAACCAUAGAAUUGCCGUUGAAACUGGGAGUCAUGAGUAUGUUUGAGGCAGGCGGAAUGCGUGGUGUAGCGGUGAAAUGCUUAGAUAUCACGCAGAACCCCGAUUGCGAAGGCAGCCUGCCAAGCCAUGACUGACGCUGAUGCACGAAAGCGUGGGGAUCAAACAGGAUUAGAUACCCUUGUAGUC